This 466-nucleotide ribosomal RNA is filed under the name uncultured bacterium. Its description in RNAcentral is "bacterial SSU rRNA". It matches the Rfam family "Bacterial small subunit ribosomal RNA", at positions 27 to 507 of the family's 1533-position model. The record is from RNAcentral.
GGACGAACGCUGGCGGCGCGCCUAACACAUGCAAGUCGAACGGUGAAGAGGAGCUUGCUCCUCGGAUCAGUGGCGGACGGGUGAGUAACACGUGAGCAACCUGGCUCUAAGAGGGGGAUAACAGUUGGAAACGACUGCUAAUACCGCAUAAGCCCACAGCUCGGCAUCGAGCAGAGGGAAAAGGAGCAAUCCGCUUUGAGAUGGCCUCGCGUCCGAUUAGCUAGUUGGUGAGGUAACGGUCCCACCAAGGCAACGAUCGGUAGCCGGACUGAGAGGUUGAACGGCCACAUUGGGACUGAGACACGGCCCAGACUCCUACGGGAGGCAGCAGUGGGGAAUAUUGCACAAUGGGGGAAACCCUGAUGCAGCGACGCCGCGUGGAGGAAGAAGGUCUUCGGAUUGUAAACUCCUGUUGUUGAGGAAGAUAAUGACGGUACUCAACAAGGAAGUGACGGCUAACUACGUG